UUUCAAAAAAUCGCUUUUUUUUUUUUUGCUUUAAAUAGUUCCUUAGGGUCUCAGAAAUAACAUAUUGCAGGAUUAUGGCUCGGAAAAAUCUCUAAAUAAUUUAUUUUCGAAGUUCCUUGCAAGGCUGCACGGUACGCGGCGAGCUCCUUUUGUCAGUUCUACGGGGGGUGAUUUUUGAAGGAUCUACAGCAGGUAUACGGCAGAUGUUUUCAAAGGCGCUAGUUACUUGCUAGACUAUAGUCUAUUCUACACAAUUGCAGGCAUUGCAGAUUAAAGUAGCAGUUAGUUCGGCCACGUACCCCUUGAACCAUAGAGGAGUCGAAGGACGACCGCUACAGCGCCACCAUUCUUCAAGAAAUAUUUAUAAGAAAUUAUUUUUUUACACCUAAAAAGAUGUAUAAUAAACUUCUUAUAUUAUAUUUUUAA
Leptopilina boulardi is the source of this 426-nucleotide long non-coding RNA. RefSeq lists it as uncharacterized. The record is from RefSeq and is a predicted model, not a curated record. NCBI's taxonomy places the organism in Eukaryota, Metazoa, Arthropoda, Insecta, Hymenoptera, Figitidae. The transcript has 2 exons.